GGAGGACUCCUGUGGUGACAGCCCAAGGUUAGCUUGAGCCGCUAACAUGCUUUAAGGACAGCUACUUUAAAGAGCCAGGACUGUGUACAAACAGAGGGACAGCUAGACGAGUAUGCGCAUACAUAGAGGGACAGCUGGAGGAGCAUGAGGAGCAAUUGGCUAAAUUUGACGAGAAUGAAUGGGACAAAAGUGUAUGGGAUAAGAAUCGCUGAAUCAACCUUACAUCUACUUGAAGGAAUCAGUCCCAUUAUAAGACAUGGACACUGAGAGAGGAGGUGAGGGACGUGGCCAGGCUUGACAGUGGUUUGGGGGAUCGUUGCCAGAAAAAGUAAAGGAUACAAAAUAAAGCAUUGAAAUACAUAAUCAUGAAGGGGGUUUACAUCCACAUAAAAAUUCCAGUUGUUAGUUAUAUUCCACAAACAGCAUCAGUUUACACACAAAAUGUCUUAACAUCAGAAACAGCCGUAUGAUGGGUAUUAUCUCAGUUGUAUGAGCAGAUGUUGUUUACUUGAAGUGUCUGAAAAACACCAUAAUUCACAGUCAGACCUUUCGAAAGACAAAUAAAUGAACAGUUGUUUUUCAAGUUUUUCAACACAGACCUAAAUGAUUCAGCACAGACUAAUUACGCAACAGGUUGACAGCUCUGUGUGGCCCCUAGAAUUGAAGUCAUGUAACACAAAUCGUCUGAGACUGCAGGUGAUAUCGGCCCCCUUUUUCCAAAACAACAAUGUCCGCACCAGAUGAAACAGAC
Clupea harengus (Atlantic herring) is the source of this 751-nucleotide long non-coding RNA. The record is from Ensembl. NCBI's taxonomy places the organism in Eukaryota, Metazoa, Chordata, Actinopteri, Clupeiformes, Clupeidae.